This 482-nucleotide ribosomal RNA is filed under the name uncultured bacterium. RNAcentral's name for it is "partial 16S ribosomal RNA". It matches the Rfam family "Bacterial small subunit ribosomal RNA", at positions 30 to 507 of the family's 1533-position model. The record is from RNAcentral.
AUUGAACGCUGGCGGCAUGCUUUACACAUGCAAGUCGAACGGUAACAGGCCGCAAGGUGCUGACGAGUGGCGAACGGGUGAGUAAUGCAUCGGAACGUGCCCAGUCGUGGGGGAUAACUACUCGAAAGAGUAGCUAAUACCGCAUACGAUCUAUGGAUGACAGCGGGGGACCGUAAGGCCUCGCGCGAUUGGAGCGGCCGAUGUCAGAUUAGGUAGUUGGUGGGGUAAAGGCUCACCAAGCCAACGAUCUGUAGCUGGUCUGAGAGGACGACCAGCCACACUGGGACUGAGACACGGCCCAGACUCCUACGGGAGGCAGCAGUGGGGAAUUUUGGACAAUGGGCGCAAGCCUGAUCCAGCAAUGCCGCGUGCAGGAAGAAGGCCUUCGGGUUGUAAACUGCUUUUGUACGGAACGAAACGGCUCUGGUUAAUACCCGGGGCUAAUGACGGCACCGUAAGAAUAAGCACCGGCUAACUACGUG